Salvia miltiorrhiza (redroot sage) is the source of this 1003-nucleotide long non-coding RNA. RefSeq lists it as uncharacterized. The transcript is spliced from 4 exons. NCBI's taxonomy places the organism in Eukaryota, Viridiplantae, Streptophyta, Magnoliopsida, Lamiales, Lamiaceae. The record is from RefSeq and is a predicted model, not a curated record.
GAAAGAAAAUGUGAAAAGCAAAAAUCGAACAACCGGUGUUUGAUCUAGGGUUCCCACCCCCAUCCCUAUCCGCCGCCCAGCCCUCUUCCUUCUACGGUUCUACCCGUCAGUCGCCGCCCCGAGGCCCUGCCGGCGCUUCUGCACCGAGACUCGCCGCCGCCCAGACAAGGUCCUCCCCCCGCAACGCCGUCAGGCCCGUCACCCAGGCGCCAGGCCCCUCCCUUUCCUACCUCCUCGCCCAGUGGCCCAGAUCCUCCCAGCCGCGACAUCGUCACCCAGGCGCUGGCUGCUCCCCGCCGUCGCCCAAGCCCUGCCUCUCUAUCGCACAGCGCCGCCAGGCCCCUGCCUCGCCGUCGCCCAGCGCCCAGGCGGCUUGAAAUCGCCCCCGUGGCAAGCCAGAAGCAUCCUGCAAUCCGCCGCGCCUCAGUGUACGACUGCUCGACCAGCCUUCCCCAUCGUACCACUCCUCCUAGUCCAGCCUCACCGCCUCCGUUGGUCCCUCCGGCGGCUUCGCAACAGCAGUAGUUUCCAACGCCGCCAGAUUAAAUCCACCGAUGAAACUACUCCCUCCGUCGACCUUCGACGCGCUGAUCUCCGACGCCACUGAGCACCCCGCCACCGUCCGUCUCCACUAUCUCCAUCAUUAAACCACUUUUCCAAUCAAAGACGAUCAGUGCUUCUCAGGUUUAUUGACUAAGAAAUUUAUCGCUUUGAUAAAGCAUGCAGAGGAUGGUGAACUUGAUCUAAACAAGGCGGCUGACACUUUGCAGCUGUAUAUUUCUCAACCCCAACUGGACUCAGCUUCAGGAGGUACUCUGCGGUCACGAGCAGCUCAACAGUUAUAUAGUUGAAGGACAAGAUACAAGAUUAUAUAGCUUAUAAAGAGGUGCUGGUUUUAGAAGGCAACGAAAGCCCUAUUUUUUUAUUUUUUUUAGUUGGGCUCAAAACAUUAUGUAUGAAUGUUUUGUGAUAUAUAUAAUAUAUGUUAUUGAUGGUUUUAUCA